GUUUGCACACUCCCUCUACCCCUGGUCUCCUUUGGAAUAAAGCUCUUCUAAUAAGGAACAUGGGUUUUCAUCUGACAAUUUGCAUCUAUCAGGUCUCUGCAGGAAACAGGUGGCACACACAGAGGAGAGUUACAUCAGAGUGCAGGGCAGGACAAAGGGGACCAGCAAGAAAUGGAGAGGCACCUGGGGUCAGCCCUUGCAGGAAGCCCUGACCACUCCCAAACUGAAUGGGAAAAGCGGGACAGGUGCUGUUGGACCCCAGAGACAGCUGGGGCAUGGAAAGAGGCUCUGCUUUCCAGAAGCUGUGGGCAGACAGCCAUGACCAGACCUGCAGUGGAGCAGGUGGGGAGUGGGACUGUGCCUCCUAUUGGCCAAACCAAGCUGGGAACCACAGGGCAAGGGGCAGGUGACACAGGCUGUGAGAGGUUGGCCUGCCAGGGCACAGAGCAGGGCAGAGAGGGUGAAGAAUGGGUAGGGGUGCCAGGGUGAGAGGUAGGCUGAGUAAUGGCCUCUCAAAUGUCCAUGUCUUAAUCCCCAGGACCCUACAUGGCAAAAGGCUUGGCAGACGUGACAAAGUGAAGAGUCUUGAGAUGGGGAGAUGAUCCUGCAUUGUCUGGAUGGGCUGGGUGUGGUCGUGACAGUUUUCAUAAGAGGGCUGCAGGACUACACUUUCUUCCUGAGAGGGUUCCUAACUUCUCUGAAGUCAAGUUGAGCGUCCACAUCUAAAGCC
Molecule: long non-coding RNA, 730 nt
Filed under: Homo sapiens (human)
Lineage: Eukaryota; Metazoa; Chordata; Mammalia; Primates; Hominidae
Description: HSALNT0097980
Source: RNAcentral